CUGUCAUAAAUUUGGACUUGUCUCAUCCUCUUCUGGCAAAAGCUAUCCAAGCUUUCAGGUACUUGAGGAUAAGAAUUGGAGGUUCUUUGCAAGACCAAGUGUUGUAUGAUGUAGGAAAUUUGAAUUCUACUUGCCAUCCAUUUAGAAAGAUGAAAGAUGGGUUGUUUGGAUUUUCAAAGGGAUGUUUACACAUGAACCGUUGGGAUGAGCUGAAUCAUUUAUUCAGUAGAACAGGGGCCAUUGUGACAUUUAGCUUAAAUGC
Molecule: unclassified non-coding RNA, 262 nt
Filed under: Hevea brasiliensis (rubber tree)
Lineage: Eukaryota; Viridiplantae; Streptophyta; Magnoliopsida; Malpighiales; Euphorbiaceae
Source: RNAcentral